RNAcentral lists this ribosomal RNA (466 nucleotides) under uncultured bacterium. Its description in RNAcentral is "partial 16S ribosomal RNA". It matches the Rfam family "Bacterial small subunit ribosomal RNA", at positions 339 to 795 of the family's 1533-position model. The record is from RNAcentral.
AUACGGGGGGCUCCAGUGGGGAAUAUUGGACAAUGGGGGAAACCCUGAUCCAACAAUGCCGCGUGUGUGAAGAAGGCCUGCGGGUUGUAAAGCACUUUCGGUUGGGAGGACUGCUUCUAGCACUAAUAUUGUUGGAAGUUGACGUUACCUUCAGAAGAAGCACCGGCUAACUCCGUGCCAGCAGCCGCGGUAAUACGGAGGGGUGCAAGCGUUAAUCGGAAUUACUGGGCGUAAAGCGCGCGUAGGCGGCUAGAUCAGUCGGGUGUGAAAGCCCCGGGCUUAACCUGGGAACUGCAUCCGAUACUGUCUAGCUUGAGUACAGGAGAGGAGAGUGGAAUUCCACAUGUAGCGGUGAAAUGCGUAGAUAUGUGGAGGAACACCAAUGGCGAAGGCAGCUCUCUGGCCUGAUACUGACGCUGAGGUGCGAAAGCGUGGGGAGCAAACAGGAUUAGAUACCCCGGUAGUC